This 503-nucleotide ribosomal RNA is filed under the name Apilactobacillus kunkeei. RNAcentral's name for it is "bacterial SSU rRNA". It matches the Rfam family "Bacterial small subunit ribosomal RNA", at positions 70 to 557 of the family's 1533-position model. Lineage: Bacteria; Bacillati; Bacillota; Bacilli; Lactobacillales; Lactobacillaceae. The record is from RNAcentral.
CAUAAAUGAUUUUUGGAUUCGGAGCGAGUGGCGAACUGGUGAGUAACACGUGGGUAACCUGCCCCGAAGCGGGGGAUAACAUUUGGAAACAAGUGCUAAUACCGCAUAAUUAGUUGGAACCGCAUGGUUCCAACUUGAAAGAUGGCUCUGCUAUCACUUUGGGAUGGACCCCCGCCGUAUUAGUUAGUUGGUGAGAUAAAAGCCCACCAAGACGAUGAUACGUAGCCGACCUGAGAGGGUAAUCGGCCACAUUGGGACUGAAACACGGCCCAAACUCCUACGGGAGGCAGCAGUAGGGAAUCUUCCACAAUGGACGAAAGUCUGAUGGAGCAACGCCGCGUGAGUGAUGAAGGUUUUCGGAUCGUAAAACUCUGUUGUUAAAGAAAAACAAGUGUUAGAGUAACUGUUAACACUUUGACGGUAUUUAACCAGAAAGCCACGGCUAACUACGUGCCAGCAGCCGCGGUAAUACGUAGGUGGCAAGCGUUGUCCGGAUUUAUUGG